RNAcentral lists this ribosomal RNA (253 nucleotides) under uncultured bacterium. RNAcentral describes it as "partial 16S ribosomal RNA". It matches the Rfam family "Bacterial small subunit ribosomal RNA", at positions 524 to 776 of the family's 1533-position model. The record is from RNAcentral.
UACGAAGGGGGCUAGCGUUGCUCGGAAUUACUGGGCGUAAAGCGCACGUAGGCGGCUUUCUAAGUCGGGGGUGAAAUCCCGGGGCUCAACCCCGGAACUGCCUUUGAUACUGGCAUUCUCGAGUCCGGAAGAGGUGAGUGGAAUUCCGAGUGUAGAGGUGAAAUUCGUAGAUAUUCGGAGGAACACCAGUGGCGAAGGCGGCUCACUGGUCCGGUACUGACGCUGAGGUGCGAAAGCGUGGGGAGCAAACAGG